GUAGAUAUAGUUUUAAUUAAAAUAUUAGAUUGUGAUUCUAAAGAUCGGGGUUAAAACCCCCUUAUCCACC
Molecule: transfer RNA, 70 nt
Filed under: Liparis tanakae (Tanaka's snailfish)
Lineage: Eukaryota; Metazoa; Chordata; Actinopteri; Perciformes; Liparidae
Also listed under: 1 other name
Description: tRNA-His
Rfam family: tRNA
About the family: Transfer RNA (tRNA) molecules are approximately 80 nucleotides in length. Their secondary structure includes four short double-helical elements and three loops (D, anti-codon, and T loops). Further hydrogen bonds mediate the characteristic L-shaped molecular structure. tRNAs have two regions of fundamental functional importance: the anti-codon, which is responsible for specific mRNA codon recognition, and the 3' end, to which the tRNAs corresponding amino acid is attached (by aminoacyl-tRNA synthetases). tRNAs cope with the degeneracy of the genetic code in two manners: having more than one tRNA (with a specific anti-codon) for a particular amino acid; and 'wobble' base-pairing, i.e. permitting non-standard base-pairing at the 3rd anti-codon position.
Source: RNAcentral